UUUUAUAUAGUAUAUGUAGUACAGUUACCUUCCAAGUAAAUAGGCUCCUAAGUCGUGUAUGGU
Molecule: transfer RNA, 63 nt
Filed under: Albinaria turrita
Lineage: Eukaryota; Metazoa; Mollusca; Gastropoda; Stylommatophora; Clausiliidae
Description: transfer RNA-Gly
Source: RNAcentral